AUACGGAGGAUCCAAGCGUUAUCCGGAUUUAUUGGGUUUAAAGGGUGCGCAGGCGGUAUUAUAAGUCAGUGGUGAAAUCUGGAGGCUCAACCUCCAAACUGCCAUUGAUACUGUAGUACUAGAGUACAGACGAAGUAGGCGGAAUGUAGCAUGUAGCGGUGAAAUGCUUAGAUAUGCUACAGAACACCGAUCGCGAAGGCAGCUUACUAGACUGUUACUGACGCUAAUGCACGAAAGCGUGGGGAGCGAACAGGAUUAGAAACCCGAGUAGUCC
RNAcentral lists this ribosomal RNA (274 nucleotides) under uncultured bacterium. RNAcentral describes it as "partial 16S ribosomal RNA". It matches the Rfam family "Bacterial small subunit ribosomal RNA", at positions 523 to 796 of the family's 1533-position model. The record is from RNAcentral.